RNAcentral lists this ribosomal RNA (791 nucleotides) under Bacillus zhangzhouensis. Its description in RNAcentral is "bacterial SSU rRNA". It matches the Rfam family "Bacterial small subunit ribosomal RNA", at positions 45 to 823 of the family's 1533-position model. Lineage: Bacteria; Bacillati; Bacillota; Bacilli; Caryophanales; Bacillaceae. The record is from RNAcentral.
UGCUAUAAUGCAGUCGAGCGGACAGAAGGGAGCUUGCUCCCGGAUGUUAGCGGCGGACGGGUGAGUAACACGUGGGUAACCUGCCUGUAAGACUGGGAUAACUCCGGGAAACCGGAGCUAAUACCGGAUAGUUCCUUGAACCGCAUGGUUCAAGGAUGAAAGACGGUUUCGGCUGUCACUUACAGAUGGACCCGCGGCGCAUUAGCUAGUUGGUGGGGUAAUGGCUCACCAAGGCGACGAUGCGUAGCCGACCUGAGAGGGUGAUCGGCCACACUGGGACUGAGACACGGCCCAGACUCCUACGGGAGGCAGCAGUAGGGAAUCUUCCGCAAUGGACGAAAGUCUGACGGAGCAACGCCGCGUGAGUGAUGAAGGUUUUCGGAUCGUAAAGCUCUGUUGUUAGGGAAGAACAAGUGCGAGAGUAACUGCUCGCACCUUGACGGUACCUAACCAGAAAGCCACGGCUAACUACGUGCCAGCAGCCGCGGUAAUACGUAGGUGGCAAGCGUUGUCCGGAAUUAUUGGGCGUAAAGGGCUCGCAGGCGGUUUCUUAAGUCUGAUGUGAAAGCCCCCGGCUCAACCGGGGAGGGUCAUUGGAAACUGGGAAACUUGAGUGCAGAAGAGGAGAGUGGAAUUCCACGUGUAGCGGUGAAAUGCGUAGAGAUGUGGAGGAACACCAGUGGCGAAGGCGACUCUCUGGUCUGUAACUGACGCUGAGGAGCGAAAGCGUGGGGAGCGAACAGGAUUAGAUACCCUGGUAGUCCACGCCGUAAACGAUGAGUGCUAAGUGU